UAACCAUCUAGGGGAGCCGUAGGGAAACCGAGUCUUAACUGGGCGUUCAGUCUCUGGAUAUAGACCCGAAACCAGGUGAUCUAGCCAUGGGCAGGUUGAAGGUUGAGUAACAUCAACUGGAGGACCGAACCGACUAAUGUUGAAAAAUUAGCGGAUGACUUGUGGCUAGGGGUGAAAGGCCAAUCAAACCUGGAGAUAGCUGGUUCUCCCCGAAAGCUAUUUAGGUAGCGCCUCGGACGAAUACUACUGGGGGUAGAGCACUGUUAAGGCUAGGGGGUCAUCCCGACUUACCAACCCUUUGCAAACUCCGAAUACCAGUAAGUACUAUCCGGGAGACACACGGCGGGUGC
Molecule: ribosomal RNA, 350 nt
Filed under: Vibrio parahaemolyticus
Lineage: Bacteria; Pseudomonadati; Pseudomonadota; Gammaproteobacteria; Vibrionales; Vibrionaceae
Description: partial 23S ribosomal RNA
Rfam family: Bacterial large subunit ribosomal RNA
Source: RNAcentral